This is a non-coding RNA of Parelaphostrongylus tenuis, 75 nucleotides long. Lineage: Eukaryota; Metazoa; Nematoda; Chromadorea; Rhabditida; Metastrongylidae. The record is from the annotation of a GenBank genome assembly.
GGCGUCGGUGGUGCAAGGUAGGAGCACGCGCCCCUGGACUGGGUAUAAUGCGGGUUCGAGUCCCGUCUGUCGUCA